Molecule: unclassified non-coding RNA, 289 nt
Filed under: Hevea brasiliensis (rubber tree)
Lineage: Eukaryota; Viridiplantae; Streptophyta; Magnoliopsida; Malpighiales; Euphorbiaceae
Source: RNAcentral
AAGAUGCCAGCUCUGGACGAUGUCCUCAUUAUUUUCGAAUAUAAUCUCAAUGAAUUGCCUGUAAUUAACACCUAGAACAGACGUGUCUUGGUAAAUUCCUCCACCAGUUGGGGAAUCAGGUAUGCUUCCAACUCUGAAUCCGCCAAUCUUGAAGUAGUCGAGUAGUUUUAGAGGAGUAUCAAGUGGCACAAACGACACGCUGUUGACAGCAUAUCUCUGUUUGCCAUUCACUUGACCAGCAGAGCUAGCAAGUCUGAUGGUUUUAGUUGUGUUGAUCAUACCAUAAUGG